GAUGAACGCUGGCGGCGUGCCUAAUACAUGCAAGUCGAGCGAACAGACGAGGAGCUUGCUCCUCUGACGUUAGCGGCGGACGGGUGAGUAACACGUGGAUAACCUACCUAUAAGACUGGGAUAACUUCGGGAAACCGGAGCUAAUACCGGAUAAUAUAUUGAACCGCAUGGUUCAAUAGUGAAAGACGGUUUUGCUGUCACUUAUAGAUGGAUCCGCGCCGCAUUAGCUAGUUGGUAAGGUAACGGCUUACCAAGGCAACGAUGCGUAGCCGACCUGAGAGGGUGAUCGGCCACACUGGAACUGAGACACGGUCCAGACCCCUACGGGAGGCAGCAGUAGAGAAUCUUCCGCAAUGGGCGAAAGCCUGACGGAGCAACGCCGCGUGAGUGAUGAAGGUCUUCGGAUCGUAAAACUCUGUUAUUAGGGAAGAACAAAUGUGUAAGUAACUAUGCACGUCUUGACGGUACCUAAUCAGAAAGCCACGGCUAACUACGUG
Molecule: ribosomal RNA, 497 nt
Filed under: uncultured bacterium
Lineage: Bacteria
Description: partial 16S ribosomal RNA
Rfam family: Bacterial small subunit ribosomal RNA
Source: RNAcentral